Long non-coding RNA from Diachasmimorpha longicaudata, 1418 nucleotides. RefSeq lists it as uncharacterized. Lineage: Eukaryota; Metazoa; Arthropoda; Insecta; Hymenoptera; Braconidae. The transcript has 2 exons. The record is from RefSeq and is a predicted model, not a curated record.
UGGGGAACUUGCAUGCGGCCCAGAUUUGAGAAAUAAAUGUAUUAAUAAAUAGUUUAACGCCUAUGGAAUACUCUCCAAUGAAAAAUGCAUUCUAACUCAUUGCAGUUCUUUUUUAACAAUCAAUCGAAAAUUGCAUAAUUUUGAACCACUUUUUAACGCUCGUGACGUCAUCAGGCGGUGACGCCGGUUUCUUAUUGCAGCCGCUAGAUGACAGCACUGAUAUUUUUCUAAACGUCAGCCGGUGUCAACAAACAGUAGAGGUUACAUUGUUAAAUGUCACUUCUGCCAGCUCCGAGAAGUUAUCAACUUAUUAUUCUAAUCAAUUAUCCCGCUCAUGCCCAAUCGUUUGAAGGUCCUUUGCAGGUCUAUGAUAGAUAAGAAUUAUUGUUUGAUCGAUCAUCGUUUUUUUAAAAUGAAUUUUUCAAAAAAUGAAAUAUUUCUACGGAAGUUAUCAUCUUUUUUUUUUAAUUUGGCCCUAGAAUGUUGAAUGACCGCUCAAACGAUCGAGAAUCGUUUGCAGGUGAUUGAUAGAUGAUCAUCAAUCCCCUACAGAACACUAAUUAUGAAUUAUUGAUUAAAAAUCAUUUUGAGGUUACUGAGCUCAGCGGCGGCGGAGUAGGGAGGUCGCCAUGUUGUAUCCAACAGCUGACGGUUUGCAUUUUGAGGCAUGGCGAAAAACUACUCCGAAACAACUUCUUUCCAAUCAAACUCACGAUCUCAUCUACAGGAGCAGGGCGCAAAUAUUGUUAUCUCUUCGUGACACUGACGUAUGUUAUUCUACUGAGAAAAUGUGGAAUGACAUUCCAAUAUUAGAAAUCGAAGUAUGUGGUACACCAGCCAAUGUUUGGAGGAAUUGUCUUUUUAAUGAACCGAGCCAAUGGAAAAAGUAUGAUUUUACUUGUGGGAGCUAUAUCCAACCCAUUUCGAUCUUGGAGCCGAAUAUUCCUAAACCAUUGAUCACAUCAAACAAGUUACUUUUACCUCUGGAGUUUCAUAAAGUUUUAAAAAAGGUGCAAAGUCGCCCGCCUCUUUGUAGCAGCAGAUGCAAUGUAGAGACAACCCAAUUUUCAUCUAUUCAUUCAUUUGAAGCGAUCAACUAAGUGUUUGCUGGGGAAUGUAUUUAAAAUGAUUGGAAUGGGCGAUCAGUAUCAAAUUGCUGGGGUCAUCAGUGCAUUUCAUGACCGAUACGUGGCCUUUUGUUUAGUGAAUGGAAAGUGGUGGUUGUACGACAACCAGCAGCCAAACAUCCAAAUGACAUCAGAUGUAGAAUUCGUUGAACUGGUUGGAUUAGUUUAUAUUUUAAAAAGUACAAUGAGUUGCUAAGCAUGUUAAAAAAAAUAUCACUUACCAAAGUUAUUCUAUCAAAGAUGAAUAUUUAUUUGUUUUCCAAUAAAAAAAUAUAAUGAUUAGAAAAUUUA